UUGUCUCAAAGAUUAAGCCAUGCAUGUCUAAGUACAAGCCAAAUUAAGGUGAAACCGCGAAAGGCUCAUUAAAUCAGUUAUGGUUCCUUAGAUCGUACCCACAAUUACUUGGAUAACUGUGGUAAUUCUAGAGCUAAUACAUGCAUAUAGAGCUCCGCCCAGAGAUGGAAGGAGCGCUUUUAUUAGAACAAAACCAAUCGGCGGCGGGAGUUCGCUUUCGUCGUCGUCCAAUUUGGUGACUCUGAAUAACUUUUGGCAGAUCGCACGGUCAUCGCACCGGCGACGCAUCUUUCAAAUGUCUGCCUUAUCAACUUUCGAUGGUAGGUUCUGCGCCUACCAUGGUUGUAACGGGUAACGGGGAAUCAGGGUUCGAUUCCGGAGAGGGAGCCUGAGAAACGGCUACCACAUCCAAGGAAGGCAGCAGGCGCGCAAAUUACCCACUCCCGGCACGGGGAGGUAGUGACGAAAAAUAACGAUACGGGACUCAUCCGAGGCCCCGUAAUCGGAAUGAGAACACUUUAAAACCUUUAACGAGGAUCAAUUGGAGGGCAAGUCUGGUGCCAGCAGCCGCGGUAAUUCCAGUUCCAAUAGCGUAUAUUAAAGUUGUUGCGGUUAAAAAGCUCGUAGUCGAAUUUGUGUUUCGCGACGCCGGUACAUCGUACGCGGUGUCUACUGGCGUUGUUCGCGAGACGUCCUGCCGGUGGGUUUAGAUCGUUCGUUCGAUUCGUUCGGAUGGUCGACGCCCAACUUAAUCCUGUCGCGGUGCUCUUCACUGAGUGUCGGGGCGGGCCGGCUCUUUUACUUUGAACAAAUUAGAGUGCUUAAAGCAGGCUAAAAUUUCGCUUGAAUAUUGGUGCAUGGAAUAAUGGAAUAGGACCUCGGUUCUAUUUUGUUGGUUUUCGGAACUCCGAGGUAAUGAUUAAUAGGAACGGAUGGGGGCAUUCGUAUUGCGACGUUAGAGGUGAAAUUCUUGGAUCGUCGCAAGACGGACAGAAGCGAAAGCAUUUGCCAAAAACGUUUUCAUUGAUCAAGAACGAAAGUUAGAGGUUCGAAGGCGAUCAGAUACCGCCCUAGUUCUAACCGUAAACUAUGCCAGCUAGCGAUCCGCCGAUGUUCCUCCGAUGACUCGACGGGCAGCCUCCGGGAAACCAAAGCUUUUGGGUUCCGGGGGAAGUAUGGUUGCAAAGCUGAAACUUAAAGGAAUUGACGGAAGGGCACCACCAGGAGUGGAGCCUGCGGCUUAAUUUGACUCAACACGGGAAACCUCACCAGGCCCGGACACCGGAAGGAUUGACAGAUUGAGAGCUCUUUCUUGAUUCGGUGGGUGGUGGUGCAUGGCCGUUCUUAGUUGGUGGAGCGAUUUGUCUGGUUAAUUCCGAUAACGAACGAGACUCUAGCCUGCUAAAUAGGCGUAUCUUGACAUCUCAAAGGCCGGCCGGCGUCUUGGUUUACGCCAGUUCGUCGCGCUCGGUUUUUACUGUCGGCGUCUUAAUAAUUCUUCUUAGAGGGACAGGCGGCUUCUAGCCGCACGAGAUUGAGCAAUAACAGGUCUGUGAUGCCCUUAGAUGUUCUGGGCCGCACGCGCGCUACACUGAAGGAAUCAGCGUGUCCUCCCUGGCCGAGCGGCCCGGGUAACCCGCUGAACCUCCUUCGUGCUAGGGAUUGGGGCUUGCAAUUGUUCCCCAUGAACGAGGAAUUCCCAGUAAGCGCGAGUCAUAAGCUCGCGUUGAUUACGUCCCUGCCCUUUGUACACACCGCCCGUCGCUACUACCGAUUGAAUGAUUUAGUGAGGUCUUCGGACCGAUACGCGAUGGCGUUUCGGCGUCGUCGAUGUGUCCGGGAAGAUGACCAAACUUGAUCAUUU
This 1864-nucleotide ribosomal RNA is filed under the name Scolytus multistriatus. RNAcentral's name for it is "SSU rRNA". It matches the Rfam family "Eukaryotic small subunit ribosomal RNA". The record is from RNAcentral. Lineage: Eukaryota; Metazoa; Arthropoda; Insecta; Coleoptera; Curculionidae.